Molecule: ribosomal RNA, 210 nt
Filed under: Alexandrium margalefii
Lineage: Eukaryota; Dinophyceae; Gonyaulacales; Pyrocystaceae
Description: partial Bacterial large subunit ribosomal RNA
Rfam family: Bacterial large subunit ribosomal RNA
Source: RNAcentral
CCGGUUCCAGGAAAUAGCUCCACCAAUAUUGACCGUACCCGAAACCGACACAGGUGGACUGGUAGAGUAUACCAAGGCGCUUGAGAGAACUAUACUGAAGGAACUCGGCAAAUUGCACGCGUAACUUCGGAAGAAGCGUGACCCUUUUGCGGGCAACCGCGGGAGGGUGGCACAGACCAGGGGGUAGCGACUGUUUAUCAAAAACACAGG